GGACCCACUAUCGUACACAUAUAAACUUUGGGUCGUGUACUAGGGUGAUUAGCCUUUGGGGCAGCUCUACGUACGUAUGACCAGAUUAUGAUGUGAAUGGACUUGCUUUGUACAUCGAGAUUACUCUGUACAUGAGUAAGGAUAUUCAUAGGAUACUUUUUUGGUGUGAUUUUUCAGUAUUUCUACAGCUUAUCAGUUUUGAGAUUAUAGAAUUCAGUUUUCAAAAUAAAGCUUUCAGCUUACAGUAUUGAGCAGCAGCAAUAUUUCAUAAAUUUUCAUGGAUAUCAGAUUAUUUAUAGUCAUUAUAUUAUACAGUUGCUUUUCUAGAAUCAAGAACAAAGAACUUUAUGAUACGAUCAUGUUUAGUUCUUAAAGUGUACUAGAUUCAGAAUUUCUCAAAGAUUUGAUAAAGUUAGAAUUUUUAGAAAAUGUGCAUAAAUGGAAAAUUUUACUUAUUUUCAAGCUAUCUACUCACUGAGUUACAAACUUAUAUAUUUUGUCAUUUUUUUUCCUAUUAGGAGACUGUUGAUUUUGAGACACUUGGAAAAGCCUGUUGAAGUCAAAUAGACCGUUUCAUAGUAUGUAAUGUAUAGUUGGAGACUCGUGUUUAUUAAGUACUUGGUCUAAUAUUUAGUUUGACGUGUAUUUCGUAGAAGGGUUUGUAAUUGAUGUAAUGCUUACUUGUAGACAUGAUGCUAAUGUAGAAGUACUCAGUCGAGUUUAGUUGUAUUUUGUCUUAGUCGUGGUGGUAUUAGAGGAAGUGGUGGUUUCCAAAACUUUUGGUUUGAAUGUCUAUAUGAGGUUUUGUUGAUGUUUCAGGUUGGUUUUGUCCAUGUUUAAGGGGAAAUUCUGUCAAAUUUUUUACCCAAA
This 870-nucleotide long non-coding RNA is filed under the name Olea europaea subsp. europaea. The record is from RNAcentral. Lineage: Eukaryota; Viridiplantae; Streptophyta; Magnoliopsida; Lamiales; Oleaceae.